This 497-nucleotide ribosomal RNA is filed under the name uncultured bacterium. Its description in RNAcentral is "partial 16S ribosomal RNA". It matches the Rfam family "Bacterial small subunit ribosomal RNA", at positions 28 to 507 of the family's 1533-position model. The record is from RNAcentral.
GAUGAACGCUGGCGGCGUGCCUAAUACAUGCAAGUCGAGCGAACAGACGAGGAGCUUGCUCCUUUGACGUUAGCGGCGGACGGGUGAGUAACACGUGGGUAACCUACCUAUAAGACUGGGAUAACUUCGGGAAACCGGAGCUAAUACCGGAUAAUAUUUCGAACCGCAUGGUUCGAUAGUGAAAGAUGGCUUUGCUAUCACUUAUAGAUGGACCUGCGCCGUAUUAGCUAGUUGGUAAGGUAACGGCUUACCAAGGCAACGAUACGUAGCCGACCUGAGAGGGUGAUCGGCCACACUGGAACUGAGACACGGUCCAGACUCCUACGGGAGGCAGCAGUAGGGAAUCUUCCGCAAUGGGCGAAAGCCUGACGGAGCAACGCCGCGUGAGUGAUGAAGGGCUUCGGAUCGUAAAACUCUGUUAUUAGGGAAGAACAAACGUGUAAGUAACUGUGCACGUCUUGAUGGUACCUAAUCAGAAAGCCACGGCUAACUACGUG